This 1348-nucleotide ribosomal RNA is filed under the name uncultured bacterium. RNAcentral describes it as "bacterial SSU rRNA". It matches the Rfam family "Bacterial small subunit ribosomal RNA", at positions 13 to 1381 of the family's 1533-position model. The record is from RNAcentral.
UUGAUCCUGGCUCAGGACGAACGCUGGCGGCACGCUUAACACAUGCAAGUCGAACGAGAGAAGAGAAGCUUGCUUUUCUGAUCUAGUGGCGGACGGGUGAGUAACACGUGAGCAAUCUGCCUUUCAGAGGGGGAUACCGAUUGGAAACGAUCGUUAAUACCGCAUAACAUAAUUGAACCGCAUGAUUUGAUUAUCAAAGAUUUAUCGCUGAAAGAUGAGCUCGCGUCUGAUUAGCUAGUUGGUAAGGUAACGGCUUACCAAGGCGACGAUCAGUAGCCGGACUGAGAGGUUGAUCGGCCACAUUGGGACUGAGACACGGCCCAGACUCCUACGGGAGGCAGCAGUGGGGAAUAUUGCACAAUGGAGGAAACUCUGAUGCAGCGAUGCCGCGUGAGGGAAGAAGGUUUUAGGAUUGUAAACCUCUGUCUUCAGGGACGAAAAAAGACGGUACCUGAGGAGGAAGCUCCGGCUAACUACGUGCCAGCAGCCGCGGUAAUACGUAGGGAGCGAGCGUUGUCCGGAAUUACUGGGUGUAAAGGGAGCGUAGGCGGGAUCGCAAGUCAGAUGUGAAAACUAUGGGCUUAACCCAUAAACUGCAUUUGAAACUGUGGUUCUUGAGUGAAGUAGAGGUAAGCGGAAUUCCUAGUGUAGCGGUGAAAUGCGUAGAUAUUAGGAGGAACAUCAGUGGCGAAGGCGGCUUACUGGGCUUUAACUGACGCUGAGGCUCGAAAGCGUGGGGAGCAAACAGGAUUAGAUACCCUGGUAGUCCACGCCGUAAACGAUGAUUACUAGGUGUGGGGGGACUGACCCCUUCCGUGCCGCAGCAAACGCAAUAAGUAAUCCACCUGGGGAGUACGACCGCAAGGUUGAAACUCAAAGGAAUUGACGGGGGCCCGCACAAGCAGUGGAGUAUGUGGAUUAAUUCGAAGCAACGCGAAGAACCUUACCAGGUCUUGACAUCGUAUGCAUAGCUCAGAGAUGAGUGAAAUCUCUUCGGAGACAUAUAGACAGGUGGUGCAUGGUUGUCGUCAGCUCGUGUCGUGAGAUGUUGGGUUAAGUCCCGCAACGAGCGCAACCCUUACUGUUAGUUGCUACGCAAGAGCACUCUAGCAGGACUGCCGUUGACAAAACGGAGGAAGGUGGGGAUGACGUCAAAUCAUCAUGCCCUUUAUGACCUGGGCCUCACACGUACUACAAUGGCUGUCAACAGAGGGAAGCAAAGCCGCGAGGUGGAGCAAACCCCUAAAAGCAGUCUUAGUUCGGAUUGUAGGCUGCAACCCGCCUACAUGAAGUCGGAAUUGCUAGUAAUCGCAGAUCAGCAUGCUGCGGUGAAUACGUUCCCGGGCGU